RNAcentral lists this non-coding RNA (128 nucleotides) under uncultured eukaryote. The record is from RNAcentral.
GAAAUGCUAGAGAAGCUCUUCCUUGCAGGGGUCGACGUGUUUCGUCUGAAUUUCAGUCACGGCAGCCACAAAGAAAAGGCGCUCCUGGUGAAGCUGAUUCGCGAGCUGGAAGUGAAGCACCAGAGGUG